RNAcentral lists this ribosomal RNA (774 nucleotides) under uncultured Neocallimastigales. Its description in RNAcentral is "partial large subunit ribosomal RNA". It matches the Rfam family "Eukaryotic large subunit ribosomal RNA", at positions 24 to 643 of the family's 3401-position model. The record is from RNAcentral. Lineage: Eukaryota; Fungi; Neocallimastigomycota; Neocallimastigomycetes; Neocallimastigales.
UACGACUACAUAUCAGGCAUAUCAAUAAGCGGAGGAAAAGAAACUAACAAGGAUUCCCCUAGUAACGGCGAGUGAAGCGGGAAGAGCUCAAAUUUGAAAUCUUCAAGGUUCUACCUUGACGAAUUGUAGUUUAAAGAAGUGUUUUCGGUUAGAGGAGUAGUAAAAGUUCUUUGGAAUAGGACAUCAUAGAGGGUGAGAAUCCCGUAUUUGACCAUUAUUUCCAGCUUUGUGAUACACUUUCAAAGAGUCGGAUUGUUUGGGAAUGCAGUCCAAAAUGGGUGGUAAAUUUCAUCUAAAGCUAAAUAUUGGCGAGAGACCGAUAGCGAACAAGUACCGUGAGGGAAAGAUGAAAAGAACUUUGAAAAGAGAGUUAAACAGUACGUGAAAUUGUCAAAAGGGAAGCGUUUGACACCAGUGUUGUUUUCUACGAAAAUCAAUUUAUGAUGGCUUGAUGCUAAGCUUUAAGACUUUAUCCGCUUGUUGUUUAGUUUUCUUGUCUUUGUGAAUGCACUUUUCGUGGAACAAGUCAACAUCAAUUUCUUUUGCUGUAAAAGGGUAAGAGGAAGGUGGCUUCGGCUUCGGUUGAAGUGUUUAUAGCCUUUUAUCUCUGCAGUCGGAGAGAUUGAGGUCUGCAGCGUAGACUCUUCGGGGUUAGAUACGUCGGUGCUAAGCUAUAGCUUUUCAUAGACAACUUGUUGACUAUGUUUAGUCAUGUGGCUUACCCGCUGGCGCUAUUUUACCUACGCUUAGGAUGUUGACACACGCGCGUGCUCG